AUUGAACGCUGGCGGCAUGCCUUACACAUGCAAGUCGAGCGGCAGCGCGGGGGCAACCCUGGCGGCGAGCGGCGAACGGGUGGGUAAUACAUCGGAACGUACCCAGUAGUGGGGGAUAACCCCUCGAAAGAGAGGCUAAUACCGCAUACGACCUACGGGUGAAAGCGGGGGACCGCAAGGCCUCGCGCUAUUGGAGCGGCCGAUGUCGGAUUAGCUAGUUGGCGGGGUAAAGGCCCACCAAGGCGACGAUCCGUAGCUGGUCUGAGAGGACGACCAGCCACACUGGAACUGAGACACGGUCCAGACUCCUACGGGAGGCAGCAGUGGGGAAUUUUGGACAAUGGGCGCAAGCCUGAUCCAGCCAUGCCGCGUGAGUGAAGAAGGCCUUUGGGUUGUAAAGCUCUUUCGGCGGGGACGAAACGGUCCGUGCCAACACCACGGACUAAUGACGGUACCCGCAGAAGAAGCACCGGCUAACUACGUGCCAGCAGCCGCGGUAAUACGUAGGGUGC
Molecule: ribosomal RNA, 512 nt
Filed under: uncultured bacterium
Lineage: Bacteria
Description: bacterial SSU rRNA
Rfam family: Bacterial small subunit ribosomal RNA
Source: RNAcentral